Molecule: transfer RNA, 75 nt
Filed under: Paraglaciecola psychrophila 170
Lineage: Bacteria; Pseudomonadati; Pseudomonadota; Gammaproteobacteria; Alteromonadales; Alteromonadaceae
Also listed under: 3 other names
Description: tRNA-Gln (TTG) (tRNA-Gln-TTG-2-1, tRNA-Gln-TTG-2-2)
Rfam family: tRNA
About the family: Transfer RNA (tRNA) molecules are approximately 80 nucleotides in length. Their secondary structure includes four short double-helical elements and three loops (D, anti-codon, and T loops).
Source: RNAcentral
UGGGGUAUAGCCAAGUGGUAAGGCAACGGGUUUUGAUCCCGUCAUUCGUUGGUUCAAGUCCAGCUACCCCAGCCA